AUUGAACGCUGGCGGCAGGCCUAACACAUGCAAGUCGAACGGUAACAGGAAGCAGCUUGCUGCUUUGCUGACGAGUGGCGGACGGGUGAGUAAUGUCUGGGAAACUGCCUGAUGGAGGGGGAUAACUACUGGAAACGGUAGCUAAUACCGCAUAACGUCGCAAGACCAAAGAGGGGGACCUUUAGGGGCCUCUUGCCAUCGGAUGUGCCCAGAUGGGGAUUAGCUAGUAGGUGGGGUAACGGCUCACCUAGGCGACGAUCCCUAGCUGGUCUGAGAGGAUGACCAGCCACACUGGAACUGAGACACGGUCCAGACUCCUACGGGAGGCAGCAGUGGGGAAUCUUCCGCAAUGGGCGAAAGCCUGACGGAGCAACGCCGACGUGAGUGA
This 388-nucleotide ribosomal RNA is filed under the name uncultured bacterium. Its description in RNAcentral is "bacterial SSU rRNA". It matches the Rfam family "Bacterial small subunit ribosomal RNA", at positions 30 to 408 of the family's 1533-position model. The record is from RNAcentral.